This 433-nucleotide ribosomal RNA is filed under the name uncultured bacterium. Its description in RNAcentral is "partial 16S ribosomal RNA". It matches the Rfam family "Bacterial small subunit ribosomal RNA", at positions 29 to 507 of the family's 1533-position model. The record is from RNAcentral.
AACGAACGCUGGCGGCAUGCCUAACACAUGUAAGUCGAACGAUCCCUUCGGGGAUAGUGGCGCACGGGUGCGUAACGCGUGGGAACCUGCCCUUAGGUUCGGAAUAACUCAGAGAAAUUUGAGCUAAUACCGGAUAAUGUCUUCGGACCAAAGAUUUAUCGCCUUUGGAUGGGCCCGCGUUGGAUUAGCUAGUUGGUGGGGUAAAGGCCUACCAAGGCGACGAUCCAUAGCUGGUCUGAGAGGAUGAUCAGCCACACUGGGACUGAGACACGGCCCAGACUCCUACGGGAGGCAGCAGUGGGGAAUAUUGGACAAUGGGCGAAAGCCUGAUCCAGCAAUGCCGCGUGAGUGAUGAAGGCCUUAGGGUUGUAAAGCUCUUUUACCCGGGAUGAUAAUGACAGUACCGGGAGAAUAAGCCCCGGCUAACUCCGUG